RNAcentral lists this ribosomal RNA (463 nucleotides) under uncultured bacterium. RNAcentral describes it as "partial 16S ribosomal RNA". It matches the Rfam family "Bacterial small subunit ribosomal RNA", at positions 28 to 507 of the family's 1533-position model. The record is from RNAcentral.
GAUGAACGCUGACAGAAUGCUUAACACAUGCAAGUCUUUGGCGAAGCUGUGCUUGCACAGCCUAGCCAAGGCGGACGGGUGAGUAACGCGUAAGGAACUUGCCCUGCAGUCAGGGAUAACAGACGGAAACGACUGAUAAGACCUGGUAAAGUCAGGCGGACUCAUGUCCAGCCUGAUGAAAAGAGAUGCUGCAGGAGAGCCUUGCGUCCUAUUAGCUUGUUGGUGGGGUAACGGCCCACCAAGGCGAUGAUAGGUAGCCGGCCUGAGAGGGUGGACGGCCACAAGGGGAAUGAGAUACGGCCGUUACUCCUACGGGAGGCAGCAGUGGGGAAUAUUGGAGAAUGGGGGCAACCCUGAUGCAGCAAUUCUGUGUGCACGAUGAAGGUUUUCGGAUUGUAAAGUGCUUUCAGAAGGGAAGAAAAAAAUGACGGUACCUGCAGAAGAAGCGACGGCUAAAUACGUG